AGUGUUAGCAAUACUGCACAUGCAACUAAAUUGCGUAAUGAUAAAAAUUAAACUGAAAGUUGCUAAAAUUAUAUGUGCAUCCAUGAAGGAGAAUUAUUUUGACUGGGAAUGGGUAUUUCUGGUUACAACCAUGCACAGUAUGUCAUUACUGUGAUAUGACAUCCGUGUCGCAAUUUCUUCGGCGUUUCGCAAGUCAACGGCAUUGAAAAGCCCAUCCAAGCGGCAAUAUCCUAUAUUAUUUUGUCCUUGGCAAACAGUGGAAACAAAACAUCGAAGGUUGGCAAUUCCUGGCCAUCGAGCGGUGCAGUCGCCAUCAUCAAAACACGGCUGUUUGAAAAAGCAACACAGCGGUAUUCGUUGAUGGCACCAUAGACGUUUCCUCUUUUGUAUGGAACUCUCACAAGCUGACAAGUCGUUCCCGCAUCAAGGCAGUCAUCGGUAACAACACAAGUUUGGGAGAGUUAAGGGCUUACCGGCUAGAGGCAGUUGAAGAGUGGCGUUCCAGUUCGAUACGUGGAUGCGGUAGGCUAAGGAAGGAACAUACUUGCCGGCAUACGAUUCUCCCGUUAUGUACAGUUCUCCCGUUUGAAAUUGCGGAAACAUGGUAUAGAACUGCAACAGUGCUUCAUAGAGAUUCAUGCUAACUUGCUUCUGAUUUCUGGAAUAGCCAUCUGUCGUGUUGGUGAAGCUGAAUCCGGUUCCCACUGGAUUAUCGAUAUACAGCAUGUUGGCCAAUUUUGUCCAACGAUACGGUCUUGGCAGAGGAAUAAUUGAGUUCUGCAA
Long non-coding RNA from Paramacrobiotus metropolitanus, 783 nucleotides. RefSeq lists it as uncharacterized. The transcript has 4 exons. The record is from RefSeq and is a predicted model, not a curated record. NCBI's taxonomy places the organism in Eukaryota, Metazoa, Tardigrada, Eutardigrada, Parachela, Macrobiotidae.